GAGUUUGAUCCUGGCUCAGGACGAACGCUGGCGGCGCGCCUAACACAUGCAAGUCGAACGAGCGAGAGAGAGCUUGCUUUCUUGAGCGAGUGGCGAACGGGUGAGUAACGCGUGAGGAACCUGCCUCAAAGAGGGGGACAACAGUUGGAAACGACUGCUAAUACCGCAUAAGCCCACGGUGCCGCAUGGCACAGAGGGAAAAGGAGCAAUCCGCUUUGAGAUGGCCUCGCGUCCGAUUAGCUAGUUGGUGAGGUAACGGCCCACCAAGGCGACGAUCGGUAGCCGGACUGAGAGGUUGAACGGCCACAUUGGGACUGAGACACGGCCCAGACUCCUACGGGAGGCAGCAGUGGGGGAUAUUGCGCAAUGGGGGAAACCCUGACGCAGCAACGCCGCGUGAAGGAUGAAGGUCUUCGAAUUGUAAACUUCUUUUAUUAAGGACGAAGAAAGUGACGGUACCUGAUGAAUAAGCCACGGCUAACUACGUGCCAGCCGCCGCGGUAAUUC
RNAcentral lists this ribosomal RNA (507 nucleotides) under uncultured bacterium. RNAcentral's name for it is "bacterial SSU rRNA". It matches the Rfam family "Bacterial small subunit ribosomal RNA", at positions 9 to 526 of the family's 1533-position model. The record is from RNAcentral.